GAGCUUGCUCCUUUGACGUUAGCGGCGGACGGGUGAGUAACACGUGGGUAACCUACCUAUAAGACUGGGAUAACUUCGGGAAACCGGAGCUAAUACCGGAUAAUAUUUCGAACCGCAUGGUUCGAUAGUGAAAGAUGGCUCUGCUAUCACUUAUAGAUGGACCUGCGCCGUAUUAGCUAGUUGGUAAGGUAACGGCUUACCAAGGCAACGAUACGUAGCCGACCUGAGAGGGUGAUCGGCCACACUGGAACUGAGACACGGUCCAGACUCCUACGGGAGGCAGCAGUAGGGAAUCUUCCGCAAUGGGCGAAAGCCUGACGGAGCAACGCCGCGUGAGUGAUGAAGGUCUUCGGAUCGUAAAACUCUGUUAUUAGGGAAGAACAAACGUGUAAGUAACUGUGCACGUCUUGACGGUACCUAAUCAGAAAGCCACGGCUAACUACGUGCCAGCAGCCGCGGUAAUACGUAGGUGGCAAGCGUUAUCCGGAAUUAUUGGGCGUAAAGCGCGCGUAGGCGGUUUUUUAAGUCUGAUGUGAAAGCCCACGGCUCAACCGUGGAGGGUCAUUGGAAACUGGAAAACUUGAGUGCAGAAGAGGAAAGUGGAAUUCCAUGUGUAGCGGUGAAAUGCGCAGAGAUAUGGAGGAACACCAGUGGCGAAGGCGACUUUCUGGUCUGUAACUGACGCUGAUGUGCGAAAGCGUGGGGAUCAAACAGGAUUAGAUACCCUGGUAGUCCACGCCGUACACGAUGAGUGCUAAGUGUUAGGGGGUUUC
This 773-nucleotide ribosomal RNA is filed under the name Staphylococcus hominis subsp. hominis. RNAcentral's name for it is "bacterial SSU rRNA". It matches the Rfam family "Bacterial small subunit ribosomal RNA", at positions 76 to 834 of the family's 1533-position model. Lineage: Bacteria; Bacillati; Bacillota; Bacilli; Caryophanales; Staphylococcaceae. The record is from RNAcentral.